Molecule: ribosomal RNA, 480 nt
Filed under: uncultured bacterium
Lineage: Bacteria
Description: bacterial SSU rRNA
Rfam family: Bacterial small subunit ribosomal RNA
Source: RNAcentral
UUGAACGCUGGCGGCAUGCUUUACACAUGCAAGUCGAACGGUAGCAGGCCUUCGGGUGCUGACGAGUGGCGAACGGGUGAGUAAUGCAUCGGAACGUGCCCAAUCGUGGGGGAUAACGUAGCGAAAGUUACGCUAAUACCGCAUACGCCCUGAGGGGGAAAGCAGGGGAUCUUCGGACCUCGCGCGAUUGGAGCGGCCGAUGUCGGAUUAGCUAGUUGGUGGGGUAAAGGCCUACCAAGGCGACGAUCCGUAGCGGGUCUGAGAGGAUGAUCCGCCACACUGGGACUGAGACACGGCCCAGACUCCUACGGGAGGCAGCAGUGGGGAAUUUUGGACAAUGGGGGCAACCCUGAUCCAGCCAUGCCGCGUGAGUGAAGAAGGCCUUCGGGUUGUAAAGCUCUUUCAGACGGAAAGAAAACGCAUCGGUGAAUACCCGGUGUGGAUGACGGUACCGUAAGAAGAAGCACCGGCUAACUACGU